This 72-nucleotide transfer RNA is filed under the name Canis lupus familiaris (dog). It matches the Rfam family "tRNA". From Rfam's summary of the family: Transfer RNA (tRNA) molecules are approximately 80 nucleotides in length. Their secondary structure includes four short double-helical elements and three loops (D, anti-codon, and T loops). Lineage: Eukaryota; Metazoa; Chordata; Mammalia; Carnivora; Canidae. The record is from Rfam by way of RNAcentral. RNAcentral also lists the same sequence under 1 other name.
GCCCAGCUGACUCAGUCAGUGGAGUGAGGGACUCUUGAUCUCAUGGUUGUGAGUUCAAACCCACAUUGGGUA